RNAcentral lists this ribosomal RNA (598 nucleotides) under Lactiplantibacillus plantarum. RNAcentral's name for it is "bacterial SSU rRNA". It matches the Rfam family "Bacterial small subunit ribosomal RNA", at positions 371 to 960 of the family's 1533-position model. Lineage: Bacteria; Bacillati; Bacillota; Bacilli; Lactobacillales; Lactobacillaceae. The record is from RNAcentral.
AUGGACGAAAGUCUGAUGGAGCAACGCCGCGUGAGUGAAGAAGGGUUUCGGCUCGUAAAACUCUGUUGUUAAAGAAGAACAUAUCUGAGAGUAACUGUUCAGGUAUUGACGGUAUUUAACCAGAAAGCCACGGCUAACUACGUGCCAGCAGCCGCGGUAAUACGUAGGUGGCAAGCGUUGUCCGGAUUUAUUGGGCGUAAAGCGAGCGCAGGCGGUUUUUUAAGUCUGAUGUGAAAGCCUUCGGCUCAACCGAAGAAGUGCAUCGGAAACUGGGAAACUUGAGUGCAGAAGAGGACAGUGGAACUCCAUGUGUAGCGGUGAAAUGCGUAGAUAUAUGGAAGAACACCAGUGGCGAAGGCGGCUGUCUGGUCUGUAACUGACGCUGAGGCUCGAAAGUAUGGGUAGCAAACAGGAUUAGAUACCCUGGUAGUCCAUACCGUAAACGAUGAAUGCUAAGUGUCGGAGGGUUUCCGCCCUUCAGCGCUGCAGCUAACGCAUUAAGCAUUCCGCCUGGGGAGUACGGCCGCAAGGCUGAAACUCAAAGGAAUUGACGGGGGCCCGCACAAGCGGUGGAGCAUGUGGUUUAAUUCGAAGCUAC